GACGAACGCUGGCGGCGUGCUUAACACAUGCAAGUCGAACGGGCCUGUCUUCUUUUUUGGGGGUGGGUUGAGUGGCGAACGGGUGAGUAUCACGUGAGUAACCUGCCCUUCGGUCCUGGAUAACCGCUUGAAAGGGCGGCUAAUACGGGGUGGUCCGGUUGGUCCGCAUGGGCUGGUCGGGAUAGAUUCACUGUUUUUGGUGUUUCGGCGGGGGAUGGGCUCGCGGCCUAUCAGCUUGUUGGUGGGGUGAUGGCCUACCAAGGCGGUGACGGGUAGCCGGCCUGAGAGGGUGGGCGGCCAGACUGGGACUGAGAUACCGCCCAGACACCUGCGGGAGGAAGCAGUGGGGGGUAUUGCACAAUGGGCGGAAGCCUGAUGCAGCGACGUCGCGUGAGGGAUGGAGGCCUUCGGGUUGUGAACCUCUGUUUCCGGUGGUGAAGGCCCUGUCCGUGUGGUGGGGUUGACGGUAGCCGGGGAUGAAGCGCCGGCUAACUACGUG
Molecule: ribosomal RNA, 499 nt
Filed under: uncultured bacterium
Lineage: Bacteria
Description: partial 16S ribosomal RNA
Rfam family: Bacterial small subunit ribosomal RNA
Source: RNAcentral